CCCUGUGCUCUAAAAGCUGACUGCAGUUCAAUAAGAAAAAAAGAAACAAAGACUGUCACGACUUCCUGUGGGAAAAUGAAAUGUUGACAAUCAGUGAUCAUCACAAUGGCCUGGAUUCCCACACAUAUCCCAAAUGACCAGACUGACAUCCGUUGUUAAAAGCAUAUGAUGGUUACCAAAGAUUGUACAAACAAUGUACACAGGUACAGACACAGGAUAAUACAAAUACGCUGAGGCUGUGUGGCCGGGCGUUUGUGCGGGCAGUGGUGUACACCUGCG
Molecule: long non-coding RNA, 279 nt
Organism: Perca fluviatilis (European perch)
Lineage: Eukaryota; Metazoa; Chordata; Actinopteri; Perciformes; Percidae
Exons: 3
Source: RefSeq, a predicted model, not a curated record